Molecule: ribosomal RNA, 540 nt
Filed under: uncultured Prochlorococcus sp.
Lineage: Bacteria; Bacillati; Cyanobacteriota; Cyanophyceae; Synechococcales; Prochlorococcaceae
Description: bacterial SSU rRNA
Rfam family: Bacterial small subunit ribosomal RNA
Source: RNAcentral
UAACGCGUUGUGGAAUCUGCCCCCAGGAGGGGGAUAACGGUUGGAAACGACCGCUAAUACCCCAUAUGCCGAUAGGUGAAAUGAAUUUCGCCUGAGGAUGAGCCCGCGUCUGAUUAGCUAGUUGGUAAGGUAAAGGCUUACCAAGGCUUCGAUCAGUAGCUGGUCUGAGAGGAUGAUCAGCCACACUGGGACUGAGACACGGCCCAGACUCCUACGGGAGGCAGCAGUGGGGAAUUUUCCGCAAUGGGCGAAAGCCUGACGGAGCAACGCCGCGUGAGGGACGAAGGCCUCUGGGCUGUAAACCUCUUUUCUCAAGGAAGAAGAUAUGACGGUACUUGAGGAAUAAGCCACGGCUAAUUCCGUGCCAGCAGCCGCGGUAAUACGGGAGUGGCAAGCGUUAUCCGGAAUUAUUGGGCGUAAAGCGUCCGCAGGCGGCCUUUCAAGUCUGCUGUUAAAGCGUGGAGCUUAACUCCAUUAUGGCGGUGGAAACUGAUAGGCUUGAGUAUGGUAGGGGCAGAGGGAAUUCCCGGUGUAGCGGUG